GAAUUUAAUGAUAGAUUAACCACUAAUUUUAUUAAUUAUAAAAUAAUUUAAUUUAUAUAUUGCCUUUAAAUAUAGGAAUAAAAGUUUUAUAUUAAAGAAUUUUUCAUCACUAAUUUCAUCAUUAAAUGAUAUGCGAAAUCGCCGUGGAAUUAAAUUGGCACUUGAGAAUAUUUAGUCAUAAUUUUGUAGUGUUGCCAAAUGGAGCACAAAAUUGUCACCAUAAUUAGCAAUGGAAAUGGUGACAGUACUUUUGUAUUGGGAGAUUUUCAGUCAUUAAUUUAAUCGCUAAAUGGUUUUAAAAUUAUAUGGUUCUUCAGCUUUCUAUAGUUAUUUUCAUUAAAUAAAUUAAAUCUUUAUAAAAUUAUGUUACUUUUGGCUAGCAUAAUUUCUAUUUUGUUAAUAAUUGAUUUCAUAAUUAAUUAGAAAAAAAAAUGAAUUCUAAUAUUCCAUGAAUAGGAAAUGGCUAAACAAAAUUCAUGCAUGAUUUGGAUCCAUUAUUAUUCAACUGCAUGUGUCAAUAAUAUAUAUAUUUUGUUUUACAGGAUAUAGACCAACCGAGCACAU
Molecule: unclassified non-coding RNA, 564 nt
Filed under: Hevea brasiliensis (rubber tree)
Lineage: Eukaryota; Viridiplantae; Streptophyta; Magnoliopsida; Malpighiales; Euphorbiaceae
Source: RNAcentral